AGUAAGAUGGUUGAGAAAUAGACAAUAGACUGUAAAUCUAUGAACGAGGAUUAUUAUUGAACCUCUCUUGCUA
RNAcentral lists this transfer RNA (73 nucleotides) under Platycnemis foliacea. Its description in RNAcentral is "tRNA-Tyr". It matches the Rfam family "tRNA". From Rfam's summary of the family: Transfer RNA (tRNA) molecules are approximately 80 nucleotides in length. The record is from RNAcentral. Lineage: Eukaryota; Metazoa; Arthropoda; Insecta; Odonata; Platycnemididae.